GAGAAUGUAGAAAAUGCUGCUAAAACUGAGGAUAUGUCCCAGGACCAGGACCAGGACGGGACCAGCUCGGGGAGCGGGUCCAAUGUUCCCAACUGGCUGGAUUUAAAAUCUCUCUUUAAAAAAGAGACCAAGUUUGGGCUGCUGCAGCUAAUCCCGAUGAUCCACAAGGCAAAAUGAACAUGAAAGCCAGACACACGGAGAUCUUUUCUCCAAACGGGAUUAUUUUCAAGGUUAUUUAUGAGCUCGACGAUAGCGCCGAUUCCUGGUCACCGUUAGCCGACAAGCUAGCUCCCUCUGAGCAGCCCCGAGGGUUAAAUGUACAGACAAAUGAUGCAUAAGAAGGUAAAAACGUAUGUUUGUGACGACUAAGAUGAGCCGUUCAUUAACAAAGAGAGGCGGCUAACCUGGAUGCUAUUUCUGCUCUUUUUUCGAGUAAGCGACGCUUUGGCGCUCGUGAAUCCGCUGCUACGGCCCAAAUUCCGCCCUGACGCGGCGAGAAGUUCCGCUAAUAAGUUUAAAAUCUGCUACAGAUCCUGUUUCUCAGCGCGGGCGGCAGGAGAAGAUAAGCAGAACCAGUAUCAGAACAACUUAAGCGAGCAACAACAGUCGGUCCAAUCAGCUGAUUACAGCUUCCGGUUGGAGACGCAUGUUCCUGUUGACUUCAUGACGUCACAGUCAGCUGCCUGGAUGGUGACCAGGUCAGGGGUAGAAGUCAACUGGUGUCCUCCCUCCUGCCACCCACCCAAAGCUGGGGAGAUGGAGAAGGAGGGAAAGCUGGACUCACUCCACUGGUCACACUGGUCAUCGUCUAGAGCUCUCAGUGGUGACGACAGAGCACCGCAGACCCUCCAUCACCCUGUGGAUCAGCCGGGACAGGGUUCAGCAUAUUGAUCGGUUGCUUCUGGAUCCCUUGAUGACGGCCCGUUUAGGGUGUUGGAGGUGGGCUCAGUAUGGAUGGAAGUAUGGAGAGUAUCACUUUGGAGAGGCUCAAGCCUGUUUCAUCUGUUGCCAGGCAACGGCACCCAGAUCCAUUUGCUCAGAUGCUGAGACUAAGUGGACCCACUCCAAAAAGAGGAAAAUGAAGGUGCUCAGGUCCAUGUGGCACAUGAGCCUGAGAGGUGGUUGAAUGGUAAUAAAAUCAUCUUAAUAAUGCUCAUGAUAAUAAUAAUAAUUAAUUCCUGAUGGAAUUAAAAAGAAACACAGAUUUAAAAGGGGCAGAAUAU
This 1223-nucleotide long non-coding RNA is filed under the name Takifugu rubripes (torafugu). RNAcentral describes it as "lncRNA (ENSTRUG00000030522.1)". Lineage: Eukaryota; Metazoa; Chordata; Actinopteri; Tetraodontiformes; Tetraodontidae. The record is from RNAcentral.